This 468-nucleotide ribosomal RNA is filed under the name uncultured bacterium. RNAcentral's name for it is "partial 16S ribosomal RNA". It matches the Rfam family "Bacterial small subunit ribosomal RNA", at positions 28 to 507 of the family's 1533-position model. The record is from RNAcentral.
GACGAACGCUGGCGGCGUGCUUAACACAUGCGAGUCGAACGGAAAGGCCCUGCUUUUGUGGGGUGCUCGAGUGGCGAACGGGUGAGUAACACGUGAGUAACCUGCCCUUGACUUUGGGAUAACUUCAGGAAACUGGGGCUAAUACCGGAUAGGAGCUCCUGCUGCAUGGUGGGGGUUGGAAAGAUUCGGCGGUUGGGGAUGGACUCGCGGCUUAUCAGCUUGUUGGUGGGGUAGUGGCUUACACAGGCUUUGACUGGUAGCCGGCGUGGGAGGGUGACCGGACACAUAGGGAAUGAAAUACGCCCCCAACUCCUACGGUAGCCAGCAGUGGAGAAUAUUGCAAAAUGGGCGGAAGCCUUUUACAUGAACGCAGCAUGCGGGAUGACGGACUUCGGGUUGUAAACCGCUUUCGCAUGUGACGAAGCGUGAGUGACGGUAAUGGGUAAAGAAGCACCGGCUAACUACGUG